Molecule: ribosomal RNA, 495 nt
Filed under: uncultured bacterium
Lineage: Bacteria
Description: partial 16S ribosomal RNA
Rfam family: Bacterial small subunit ribosomal RNA
Source: RNAcentral
GACGAACGCUGGCGGCGUGCCUAAUACAUGCAAGUCGAACGCUGAAGGAGGAGCUUGCUUCUCUGGAUGAGUUGCGAACGGGUGAGUAACGCGUAGGUAACCUGCCUGGUAGCGGGGGAUAACUAUUGGAAACGAUAGCUAAUACCGCAUAAUAGUAGAUGUUGCAUGACAUUUGCCUAAAAGGUGCAAUUGCAUCACUACCAGAUGGACCUGCGUUGUAUUAGCUAGUUGGUGGGGUAACGGCUCACCAAGGCGACGAUACAUAGCCGACCUGAGAGGGUGAUCGGCCACACUGGGACUGAGACACGGCCCAGACUCCUACGGGAGGCAGCAGUAGGGAAUCUUCGGCAAUGGACGGAAGUCUGACCGAGCAACGCCGCGUGAGUGAAGAAGGGUUUCGGAUCGUAAAGCUCUGUUGUAAGAGAAGAACGAGUGUGAGAGUGGAAAGUUCACACUGUGACGGUAGCUUACCAGAAAGGGACGGCUAACUACGUG